UUGUGGCAAUGAUGAUUAAGAAUAAUCCCAGCUCUAUGAGACCUCUCUUGGUCAGGGAAUUGAACUGAUUGAACAUCAUUCUGAGCUCUUGA
This is a small nucleolar RNA of Coffea eugenioides, 92 nucleotides long. The record is from RefSeq and is a predicted model, not a curated record. Lineage: Eukaryota; Viridiplantae; Streptophyta; Magnoliopsida; Gentianales; Rubiaceae.